This 272-nucleotide ribosomal RNA is filed under the name uncultured bacterium. RNAcentral describes it as "partial 16S ribosomal RNA". It matches the Rfam family "Bacterial small subunit ribosomal RNA", at positions 524 to 794 of the family's 1533-position model. The record is from RNAcentral.
UACGGAGGGAGCUAGCGUUGUUCGGAAUUACUGGGCGUAAAGCGCACGUAGGCGGUUACUCAAGUCAGAGGUGAAAGCCCGGGGCUCAACCCCCGGAACUGCCUUUGAAACUAGGUGACUAGAAUCUUGGAGAGGUCAGUGGAAUUCCGAGUGUAGAGGUGAAAUUCGUAGAUAUUCGGAAGAACACCAGUGGCGAAGGCGACUGACUGGACAAGUAUUGACGCUGAGGUGCGAAAGCGUGGGGAGCAAACAGGAUUAGAUACCCGGGUAGU